UUUCUUAAAAUAACUUCCUCAUCUAACGCCUUCUCAUAUUUAAUUUGCAAUUCUUUAAAUUCCUUUUUCAAAUUUUUAUGAGCAGUAUUCAAUUUCGCAGAUUCAUUAAGCAAUUCAAGAAAAGCCUUUUGUACAUCAAAUUCACUAGUGUCAAGGCUAGAGCAACUUACUUGGCUUGCAUUGUCAUCAACAUUAGCUGUCAAACAUAAGUUUGCUUCUUCAACAGAAUCACUUGAACUAGAAGUGCUUGAUGUGUUAUCCUCCCAAGCAAUAUAAGCUCUUUUCUUCUCUUUGUGAGUUUUCUUUUCCUUUCUUUCUUCACUUUUCUUGCUGUUUGGACAAUCGACAUUUACGUGCCCUUUUUCUCCG
RNAcentral lists this long non-coding RNA (369 nucleotides) under Vigna radiata. RNAcentral describes it as "long non-coding RNA (VRAD_LNC016897)". Lineage: Eukaryota; Viridiplantae; Streptophyta; Magnoliopsida; Fabales; Fabaceae. The record is from RNAcentral.